UACGGAGGAUUCAAGCGUUAUCCGGAUUUAUUGGGUUUAAAGGGUGCGUAGGCGGUCGGAUAAGUUAGAGGUGAAAUCCCGGGGCUCAACUUCGGAAUUGCCUCUGAUACUGUUCGGCUAGAGAGUAGUUGCGGUAGGCGGAAUGUAUGGUGUAGCGGUGAAAUGCUUAGAGAUCAUACAGAACACCGAUUGCGAAGGCAGCUUACCAAGCUACUUCUGACGCUGAGGCUCGAAAGCGUGGGGAGCAAACAGG
Molecule: ribosomal RNA, 253 nt
Filed under: uncultured bacterium
Lineage: Bacteria
Description: partial 16S ribosomal RNA
Rfam family: Bacterial small subunit ribosomal RNA
Source: RNAcentral